AGCAGCCGCGGUAAUUCCAGCUCCAAUAGCGUAUAUUAAAGUUGUUGCAGUUAAAAAGCUCGUAGUUGAAUUUCGGGUAUCAGUACGCUGGUCAUGCCUUUGGUAUGCACUGGUGUCACUGGUUUCUCCCUUCUGAAGAUCCGUGAUGUCAUUAAUUUGGUGUCGCGGGGAAUCAGGACUGUUACUUUGAAAAAUUAGAGUGUUUAAAGCAGGCUCACGCUUGAAUACAUUAGCAUGGAAUAAUGAAGUAGGACGUUUGACCCUAUUUUGUGGUUUCUAGGAUCGACGUAAUGAUUAAUAGGGAUAGUUGGGGGCAUUAGUAUUCAAUUGUCAGAGGUGAAAUUCUUGGAUUUAUUGAAGACUAACUACUGCGAAAGCA
This 379-nucleotide ribosomal RNA is filed under the name uncultured Glomus. Its description in RNAcentral is "SSU rRNA". It matches the Rfam family "Eukaryotic small subunit ribosomal RNA", at positions 569 to 953 of the family's 1831-position model. The record is from RNAcentral. Lineage: Eukaryota; Fungi; Glomeromycota; Glomeromycetes; Glomerales; Glomeraceae.